GACGGAGGGGGCUAGCGUUGUUCGGAAUUACUGGGCGUAAAGGGCGCGUAGGCGGCCCGCUAAGUCGAACGUGAAAUCCCCGAGCUCAACUCGGGAACUGCGUCCGAUACUGGCGGGCUUGAAUCCGGGAGAGGGAUGCGGAAUUCCAGGUGUAGCGGUGAAAUGCGUAGAUAUCUGGAGGAACACCGGUGGCGAAGGCGGCAUCCUGGACCGGCAUUGACGCUGAGGCGCGAAAGCUAGGGGAGCAAACGGG
This 253-nucleotide ribosomal RNA is filed under the name uncultured bacterium. Its description in RNAcentral is "partial 16S ribosomal RNA". It matches the Rfam family "Bacterial small subunit ribosomal RNA", at positions 524 to 776 of the family's 1533-position model. The record is from RNAcentral.